CCUCACCUCCAGAGUUUUGAAUGUGUUAGUUCUGGGGUGGGCCCAAGAAUCUGCAUUUUUAACAAGUUCCCAGGUGAUGCU
Molecule: microRNA precursor, 81 nt
Filed under: Tursiops truncatus (common bottlenose dolphin)
Lineage: Eukaryota; Metazoa; Chordata; Mammalia; Artiodactyla; Delphinidae
Description: miRNA (ENSTTRG00000024785.1)
Source: RNAcentral